This 566-nucleotide ribosomal RNA is filed under the name uncultured Roseibacillus sp. Its description in RNAcentral is "bacterial SSU rRNA". It matches the Rfam family "Bacterial small subunit ribosomal RNA", at positions 77 to 641 of the family's 1533-position model. Lineage: Bacteria; Pseudomonadati; Verrucomicrobiota; Verrucomicrobiia; Verrucomicrobiales; Verrucomicrobiaceae. The record is from RNAcentral.
AGCUUGCUAAUGAAAUUCUUAGUGGCGGACGGGUUAGUAACACGUGAGAAUCCUACCCUUGAGUGGGGAAUAGCCUUUCGAAAGGAAGAUUAAUGCCCCAUAGUCUCUACGGAGUAAAGAUGCCUUCGGGUGUCGCUUAAGGAUGGGCUCGCGGCCUAUCAGCUAGUUGGUGAGGUAAGAGCUCACCAAGGCAACGACGGGUAGCUGGUCUGAGAGGACGAUCAGCAACACUGGAACUGAGACACGGUCCAGACACCUACGGGUGGCAGCAGUCGAGAAUCAUUCACAAUGGACGAAAGUCUGAUGGUGCAACGCCGCGUGGAGGAUGACGGCCCUAGGGUUGUAAACUCCUGUCAUCAGGGAGUAAGACUUAUUCGUUAAUAGCGUGUAAGUUUGAUAGUACCUGAAGAGGAAGGGACGGCUAACUUCGUGCCAGCAGCCGCGGUAAUACGAAGGUCCCAAGCGUUGUUCGGAAUAACUGGGCGUAAAGCGUGUGUAGGCCGCGCGGAAAGUCGGAUGUGAAAGCCCAAGGCUCAACCUUGGAACUGCAUCCGAUACUCCCGUGC